Homo sapiens (human) is the source of this 1159-nucleotide long non-coding RNA. Ensembl annotates it as long intergenic non-protein coding RNA 3076. The record is from Ensembl. NCBI's taxonomy places the organism in Eukaryota, Metazoa, Chordata, Mammalia, Primates, Hominidae.
CUACUCCAGUCCUCUCCACCCCAAGCUCUAUGCAACUCAUUUUCAUCUAGCAUUACCUCUCCAAAACCUGAAUCUCCACAAGAAAGCCACACAGCAAUUAACCAGUGUUGCAAGAACUGCUUCUGUAAUAAAGGUGGGAAGACAAAUUGAUGCAACCCUCUUGAAAAGCAAUCUGGCAAUAUGAACCAAGAGCCAUGAAAAGGCUUAUGCUAUUAUAAUUAAAUGGCUGUAAUGUUGGCUGUAAAUAUGAAAUUUUCUUUCACACACCAAUGUUUUCAAGAAUGGCAUAUUCACAUGCAGUAUGUGAUGAAAGAAGCAGUAAAGGAUGCUAACAAAGCUAUUUCUUUGGACAAUCUGAACCUGACGGAGUCUUACUCUGUCGCCCAGGCAGGAGUGCAAUGGCACAAUCUUGGCUCACCACAACCUCCGCCUCCUGGGUUCAAGUGACUCUCCUGCCUGGCCAUAGAAGCAAACACAAACAUAGAGGAAUUGGCUUUGGGCAGAUGGAAGGACCUCAGAGAAAAGAAACAAAGGAAAGAAAACUGGAUGGAUAAAGGUUUGUAGAAAUACUAUUCACAGGAAGCAAAUAGGAAUUCCUUAUCGCUAAACAGACACUAAGUCAAUUGGUAAAGAUCUUGCCAGCUGGUGCCUGGGUGCAUAGACUGCCUAUGGCUCUUGAAUUGCAUGCUGAAAACUUCAUAAUGAAACCAGAAAAUCACAGAAGCAUAAACACAGCUGCUUAUGCCUAUAAAUUAUUGCUGGUGAAAAGGAUGUUUAAGCAGAGUGAGAGACUCUCAGCAAAAAAAGGUAACUGAAAGAGUGGUAAGUCAGACAAAGAAGAAAAAUGCCAAAGAAGAGGGUCAAGAACAACUCAUAUGACUCCGAAAUCCCUUACCCACAUUGGAGUUAUAAAAAGUUCAGGAGCUGGAGACAAAAGGCAGGUUCAUAAAGAGGAUUCCUUGGAGAGAGUUGUUAUAAUGCUAUGAGAAAAUUGAAGCCAACAGAAGUUAACUAACUUGCCUAAAAUAACACAGCUGUGGCAAAUUAGGACCAGAACCAAGGUCUCCUGACCUAAGUGCUACUCCCACCAUACUACAUGAUCUGCUGUUUAAAAUUUUGGUGAGCUUUAUAACAUAAAUAAAACUACAGAUGUGAAGGA